GCAUAUCAAUAAGCGGAGGAAAAGAAACCAACAGGGAUUGCCCCAGUAACUGCGAGUGAAGCGGCAAAAGCUCAGAUUUGAAAUCUGGCGCCUCCGGCGUCCGAGUUGUAAUCUGUAGAGGUAUCUUCGGUGGGAGCUCCGGUCUAAGUCCCCUGGAACGGGGCGUCACAGAGGGUGAGAAUCCCGUUUGUGGCUGGAUGUCUCCCACCAUGUGAAGUGCCUUCGACGAGUCGAGUUGUUUGGGAAUGCAGCUCAAAGUGGGUGGUAAAUUUCAUCUAAAGCUAAAUACAGGCGAGAGACCGAUAGCGCACAAGUAGAGUGAUCGAAAGAUGAAAAGCACUUUGAAAAGAGAGUCAAAAAGUACGUGAAAUUGUUGAAAGGGAAGCGCUUGAGACCAGACUCGGCUGGGGGUGAUCAGCGGUGCUUCUGUGCCGUGCACUUGCCCCUGUGCCGGGCCAGCAUCGGUUGCGGUGGUGGGAUAAAGGCCGUGGGAAUGUGGCUCCUUUCGGGGAGUGUUAUAGCCCACGGUGCAAUGCCACCUACUGCGACCGAGGACCGCGCAGCAAUGCUAGGAUGCUGGCAUAAUGGUCUUCAGCGACCCGUCUUGAAACACGGACCAAGGAGUCUAACAUCUAUGCGAGUGUUCGGGUGGAAAACCCUUGCGCGUAAUGAAAGUGAACGGAGGUGGGAACCCUUCGGGGCGCACCAUCGACCGAUCCAGAUGUCUUCGGAUGGAUUUGAGUAGGAGCAUAGCUGUUGGGACCCGAAAGAUGGUGAACUAUGCCCGCAUAGGGUGAAGCCAGAGGAAACUCUGGUGGAGGCUCGCAGCGGUUCUGACGUGCAAAUCGAUCGUCAAAUGUGGGUAUAGGGGCGAAAGACUAAUCGAAUCAUCUAGUAGCUGGUCUGCGA
This 909-nucleotide ribosomal RNA is filed under the name Eleutherascus tuberculatus. RNAcentral describes it as "LSU rRNA". It matches the Rfam family "Eukaryotic large subunit ribosomal RNA", at positions 38 to 961 of the family's 3401-position model. Lineage: Eukaryota; Fungi; Ascomycota; Pezizomycetes; Pezizales; Ascodesmidaceae. The record is from RNAcentral.